CCAAAUUGAUCUUUUCCAUUCCUCACACCCACAAAGGGGCAGUUUGGGGUACAUAUAGGCCAACCAUAGGUAGGUGGCUUAGAAGCUAAGCAAAACAUCUUUAGAGCAUCUAAGUAGAUAAAAUGCACACAGUCACAUAAAUAGAUAAAUAGCACACACAACACACACAUAAUUUAGUCUAUCAUUAGGCUGCUCAAAAAAUGGUGGUGUUGACCUGUUUGGCUGGCUCCAUUCAUUCAACUCCGGACUGAAGUUUGGAGUUGCCAAACAGGUCCUAACGGCAAGAAAGUAAACGCCUCGGAUCAGGAAGAAGCAAAGAGCACUCAGCGACAAUUCCUCCAUUAAUCUGCAAUCUUCUUGUACACCACUUGCCCUUCUGCUGCCUGAGUCGAUCGCAGCAUCGAUGGCUGCUUUGAAUUUCACUCGUCUUUUCUUAAUGGAUGCUUUGCAUCAUCGUCACCAAUUCGAGACUUGCAAAUCUGUGGUGUUAGUUCUUUCCUGUGAAAUCAUGCCUUGUCCUGGUCGUCAGAAGGGAGCACAUCCAUGGCUCAAAUUUUGUCUAAAUUAAAUGGUGAAGUGAUGUCAGAUGAAGUAAAAUAAUGCAGGCUGUAACAAUUUGUAAAGAAAAAUGAUAGUGGAUGAUUGUUACACGUAUCAUUGAACUGUUUCACGCAUGGUUGUCAGGCUUACCAAAUAUACUGUAGCGGGUGUCUCGGACGAAACAUCGUGGCGCGGACUGAGAAAACGAUGUAGCAGCUAACCCUCGACCCAGUUUUUCUUUUGGCAACUAGGACCGGAAAGGCCGAAAGGAUCAAACAAAACGGAGACAGCAGCUUGUCCUGUUUGUCCUCGUGCUCUUUCUAGAUCAGACCCUGUUUGGCCCCUACUCUCAAGACACAAUUUAUGCCUCU
Molecule: long non-coding RNA, 911 nt
Filed under: Setaria italica (foxtail millet)
Lineage: Eukaryota; Viridiplantae; Streptophyta; Magnoliopsida; Poales; Poaceae
Description: long non-coding RNA (SITA_LNC007473)
Source: RNAcentral